UGGGGAAUAUUGCACAAUGGGCGCAAGCCUGAUGCAGCCAUGCCGCGUGUAUGAAGAAGGCCUUCGGGUUGUAAAGUACUUUCAGCGGGGAGGAAGGGAGUAAAGUUAAUACCGUUGCUCAUUGACGUUACCCGCAGAAGAAGCACCGGCUAACUCCGUGCCAGCAGCCGCGGUAAUACGGAGGGUGCAAGCGUUAAUCGGAAUUACUGGGCGUAAAGCGCACGCAGGCGGUUUGUUAAGUCAGAUGUGAAAUCCCCGGGCUCAACCUGAGAACUGCAUCUGAUACUGGCAAGCUUGAGUCUGGUAGAGGGGGGUAGAAUUCCAUGUGUAGCGGUGAAAUGCGUAGAUAUGUGGAGGAAUACCGGUGGCGAAGGCGGCCCCCUGGACAAAGACUGACGCUCAGGUGCGAAAGCGAGGGGAGCAAACAGG
RNAcentral lists this ribosomal RNA (429 nucleotides) under Chloroflexota bacterium. Its description in RNAcentral is "Chloroflexi bacterium partial 16S ribosomal RNA". It matches the Rfam family "Bacterial small subunit ribosomal RNA", at positions 355 to 776 of the family's 1533-position model. Lineage: Bacteria; Bacillati; Chloroflexota. The record is from RNAcentral.